This is a non-coding RNA of Paramuricea clavata, 245 nucleotides long. Lineage: Eukaryota; Metazoa; Cnidaria; Anthozoa; Malacalcyonacea; Plexauridae. The record is from the annotation of a GenBank genome assembly.
GCCUCAAAGUGACAAAACGUAACAAAGCAACGGUUUUACUAACACUAACUCUACUCCAAACACCAACUCUGACCCUAACCCUAAUCCUUAUCCUAACCCUAACCUAACCCUACUACAAAUUCGUUUCUAAACCAAUUUUGAAGAAACCGUUUUGACGAAAUGUCAUUCUGAGGUCAGCGAAAUAGUUGAUGCCCUCUUCUCGCUCCUCCUUUUCGUGCUACGUCAUGUAAUGUACUCUAUAGUGG